This 490-nucleotide ribosomal RNA is filed under the name uncultured bacterium. RNAcentral's name for it is "partial 16S ribosomal RNA". It matches the Rfam family "Bacterial small subunit ribosomal RNA", at positions 30 to 507 of the family's 1533-position model. The record is from RNAcentral.
AUUGAACGCUGGCGGCAGGCCUAACACAUGCAAGUCGAACGGUAACAGGAAGAAGCUUGCUUCUUUGCUGACGAGUGGCGGACGGGUGAGUAAUGUCUGGGAAACUGCCUGAUGGAGGGGGAUAACUACUGGAAACGGUAGCUAAUACCGCAUAACGUCGCAAGACCAAAGAGGGGGACCUUCGGGCCUCUUGCCAUCGGAUGUGCCCAGAUGGGAUUAGCUAGUAGGUGGGGUAACGGCUCACCUAGGCGACGAUCCCUAGCUGGUCUGAGAGGAUGACCAGCCACACUGGAACUGAGACACGGUCCAGACUCCUACGGGAGGCAGCAGUGGGGAAUAUUGCACAAUGGGCGCAAGCCUGAUGCAGCCAUGCCGCGUGUAUGAAGAAGGCCUUCGGGUUGUAAAGUACUUUCAGCGGGGAGGAAGCGAGUCAAGUUAAUACCUUUGCUCAUUGACGUUACCCUCAGAAGAAGCACCGGCUAACUCCGUG